ACGGAAGGCAGCAGUGAGGAAUAUUGGUCAAUGGGCGGAAGCCUGAACCAGCCAAGUCGCGUGAAGGAUGAAGGUAUUAUGUAUUGUAAACUUCUUUAGUCGUAGAGAAAUAAGGUGCUCGUGAGCACUGAUGCUAGUAUACGAAGAAUAAGGAUCGGCUAACUCCGUGCCAGCGGCCGCGGUAAUCCGGAGGUUCCGAGCGUUAUCCGGAUUUAUUGGGUUUAAAGGGUGCGCAGGCGGCUUUUUAAGUCAGUGGUCAAAUCGUGGGGCUCAACCCCAUCCCGCCAUUGAUACUGGAGAGCUUGAUUGCGGUCGAGGUUGGCGGAAUUCGUCGUGUAGCGGUGAAAUGCAUAGAUAUGACGAAGAACACCGAUUGCGUAGGCAGCUGACCAGGCCGUAAAUGACGCUCAUGCACGAAAGUGCGGGGAUCGAACAGGAUUAGAUACCCUGGUA
This 453-nucleotide ribosomal RNA is filed under the name uncultured Porphyromonadaceae bacterium. Its description in RNAcentral is "partial 16S ribosomal RNA". It matches the Rfam family "Bacterial small subunit ribosomal RNA", at positions 341 to 792 of the family's 1533-position model. Lineage: Bacteria; Pseudomonadati; Bacteroidota; Bacteroidia; Bacteroidales; Porphyromonadaceae. The record is from RNAcentral.